This 294-nucleotide ribosomal RNA is filed under the name uncultured eukaryote. RNAcentral's name for it is "partial 18S ribosomal RNA". It matches the Rfam family "Eukaryotic small subunit ribosomal RNA", at positions 1470 to 1796 of the family's 1831-position model. The record is from RNAcentral.
CCCUUUGAUACUCUGGGCGGCACGCGCGCUACACUGGUUUAUAUGACGUGUAAUUUGGACGAUAGUCUGUAUAAAUCACUAAUAUAAAGCCGUGAAUGGGAUAGUUUAUUGCAACUUACAAACUUUAACUAGGAAUCCCUUGUAGAAGUAGUGAAUUAUACUGCUUCGAAUACGUCCCUGCCGAUUGUACACACCGCCCGUCGUUUCUUCCGACUGGUACUCAUUGUGAAUUGCGAGGAGAUUCUGUCAAAUCGUUGUAAAUGCUGGGUAUUGGAGGAAGAAAAAGUCGUAACA